RNAcentral lists this ribosomal RNA (497 nucleotides) under uncultured bacterium. RNAcentral describes it as "partial 16S ribosomal RNA". It matches the Rfam family "Bacterial small subunit ribosomal RNA", at positions 28 to 507 of the family's 1533-position model. The record is from RNAcentral.
GAUGAACGCUGGCGGCGUGCCUAAUACAUGCAAGUCGAGCGAACAGACGAGGAGCUUGCUCCUCUGACGUUAGCGGCGGACGGGUGAGUAACACGUGGAUAACCUGCCUAUAAGACUGGGAUAACUUCGGGAAACCGGAGCUAAUACCGGAGAAUAUAUUGAACCGCAUGGUUCAAUAGUGAAAGACGGUUUUGCUGUUACUUAUAGAUGGAUCCGCGCCGCAUUAGUUAGUUGGUAAGGUAACGGCUUACCAAGGCAACGAUGCGUAGCCGAGCUGAGAGGGUGAUCAGCCACACUGGAACUGAGACACGGUCCAGACUCCUACGGGAGGCAGCAGUAGGGAAUCUUCCGCAAUGGGCGAAAGCCUGACGGAGCAACGCCGCGUGAGUGAUGAAGGUCUUCGGAUCGUAAAACUCUGUUAUUAGGGAAGAACAACUGUGUAAGUAACUAUGCACGUCUUGACGGUACCUAAUCAGAAAGCCACGGCUAACUACGUG